GAUGUGGUCUUUUGACCCCCUACAUCAGCAUCAUGGAAGAACGUGGAUUCCCAGGUCUUGACUAGGUCUCUCCAAUCAGAAUUACAAUGGAGCUGAGAUUCUGCCUGCUUAACAAGUUCCCCAGGUUGGAGAGAAGCCUGGCCCUGGCCAUCAGGAAUCUGAUGCUGACCUUGGCUGUCCUUACCUAUUGGGCAGAUGUACACUGGGCCAAUGUCCUGGACCCAGCACAGAAAUUACAGCCUACUUGUGGAAGCCCGCAGCAGGCCAGAAAGGCUCCUGUCCAAGGCCAAACCAUCUUGCCAUUGUAUUAUUGCUCCAAACAGGAAGGGGCCUCUCCGAUUCUGACGGAAAAGCAGGCCAAGCAGCUCCUGAGAUCCCGACGGCAGGACAGGCCGAGCAAACCCGGGUUCCCUGACGAGCCCAUGCGGGAUGUCUAGAGGGCUUCCCCCUUUGGGAAGGCUGGUUCGCAGGGCUCCGAAGGAGCUGCUCCCGUCCAAGUGGUCAGGAGACAGGCUCUAAUCAACAGCGGAGUUGGCCACUGGGCAUUUUCUCUGCCAGCAUCUGCCCCUGGCUCCUCUGAGCUCUGACUUCACAGGGGCUGAAGGGUUUUAGGCCCUGGGCAACAGGAGUACAUGCAUCAUCUGCUCCGCCUGGAGCACCGGGCCGAGGAGCAGUUCCUGGAGCACUGGCUGAACCCUCACUGCAAGCCCCACUGUGACAGGAACAUGGUCCAUCCCGUGUGAGGGUCUCAGGACCAGCCACUGCAAGCAUUUUCACAAGCACCCACCUGGCUACUGUCGAAACGGGAAGAGGCUCCUUCUUUCGUUUGUUUUUCAGUUGCGGAAAUGGAUGGAUUCAGACCUUGUGAGCUGUGGGCACAGCAGAGGUUGCUUUGGGGAUUGAUGGCAAAUAUAUACACGCUGCUUCAUUUUA
This is an RNA transcript of Acinonyx jubatus (cheetah), 933 nucleotides long. It is a transcript of the gene named chromosome E1 C17orf67 homolog, with no coding region annotated. NCBI's taxonomy places the organism in Eukaryota, Metazoa, Chordata, Mammalia, Carnivora, Felidae. The record is from RefSeq and is a predicted model, not a curated record. The transcript is spliced from 6 exons.